RNAcentral lists this ribosomal RNA (496 nucleotides) under uncultured bacterium. RNAcentral's name for it is "partial 16S ribosomal RNA". It matches the Rfam family "Bacterial small subunit ribosomal RNA", at positions 29 to 523 of the family's 1533-position model. The record is from RNAcentral.
AUUGAACGCUGGCGGCAUGCCUUACACAUGCAAGUCGAACGGUAGAGGGGGCAACCUCUCGAGAGUGGCGAACGGGUGAGUAAAGCAUCGGAACGUGCCCAGUAGUGGGGGAUAGCCCGGCGAAAGCCGGAUUAAUACCGCAUGAGACCUACGGGUGAAAGGGGGGGAUCGCAAGACCUCUCGCUAUUGGAGCGGCCGAUGUCAGAUUAGGUAGUUGGUGGGGUAAAGGCCUACCAAGCCGACGAUCUGUAGCUGGUCUGAGAGGACGACCAGCCACACUGGGACUGGGACACGGCCCAGACUCCUACGGGAGGCAGCAGUGGGGAAUUUUGGACAAUGGGCGAAAGCCUGAUCCAGCCAUGCCGCGUGCGGGAAGAAGGCCUUCGGGUUGUAAACCGCUUUUGUCAGGGAAGAAAUCCUUUGAGUUAAUACCUCGGGGGGAUGACGGUACCUGAUGAAUAAGCACCGGCUAACUACGUGCCAGCCGCCGCCGUAA